GGCCUAUAGCUCAGAUGGUUAGAGCGCACGCCUGAUAAGCGUGAGGUCGAUAGUUCAAUUCUAUCUAGGCCCACCAU
RNAcentral lists this transfer RNA (77 nucleotides) under uncultured Marinobacter sp. Its description in RNAcentral is "tRNA-Ile". It matches the Rfam family "tRNA". From Rfam's summary of the family: Transfer RNA (tRNA) molecules are approximately 80 nucleotides in length. Their secondary structure includes four short double-helical elements and three loops (D, anti-codon, and T loops). Lineage: Bacteria; Pseudomonadati; Pseudomonadota; Gammaproteobacteria; Pseudomonadales; Marinobacteraceae. The record is from RNAcentral.